AUUGAACGCUGGCGGCAGGCUUAACACAUGCAAGUCGAGCGGAGACUUCGGUCUUAGCGGCGAACGGGUGAGUAAUACCUAGGAAUCUGCCUAUUAGUGGGGGAUAACGGCUCGAAAGGGUCGCUAAUACCGCAUACGUCCUACGGGAGAAAGUGGGGGAGUCUUCGGACCUCACGCUAAUAGAUGAGCCUAGGCCGGAUUAGCUAGUUGGUAGGGUAAAGGCCUACCAAGGCGACGAUCCGUAGCUGGUCUGAGAGGAUGAUCAGCCACACUGGAACUGAGACACGGUCCAGACUCCUACGGGAGGCAGCAGUGGGGGAAUAUUGGACAAUGGGGGCAACCCUGAUCCAGCCAUGCCGCGUGUGUGAAGAAGGCCU
This 377-nucleotide ribosomal RNA is filed under the name uncultured bacterium. RNAcentral's name for it is "bacterial SSU rRNA". It matches the Rfam family "Bacterial small subunit ribosomal RNA", at positions 30 to 417 of the family's 1533-position model. The record is from RNAcentral.